Molecule: ribosomal RNA, 446 nt
Filed under: Salmonella enterica subsp. enterica serovar Anatum
Lineage: Bacteria; Pseudomonadati; Pseudomonadota; Gammaproteobacteria; Enterobacterales; Enterobacteriaceae
Description: bacterial SSU rRNA
Rfam family: Bacterial small subunit ribosomal RNA
Source: RNAcentral
CCUACGGGUGGCAGCAGUGGGGAAUAUUGGGCAAUGGAGGAAACUCUUACCCAGCAAUGCCGCGUGAAUGAAGAAGGUCUUCGGAUUGUAAAGUUCUUUAAUUGGGGACGAAAAAAAUGACGGUACCCAAGGAAUAAGCCCCGGCUAACUACGUGCCAGCAGCCGCGGUAAUACGUAGGGGGCAAGCGUUGUUCGGAAUGACUGGGCGUAAAGGGUGCGUAGGCGGUGUAGCAAGUUAGAAGUGAAAUACCUAGAGCUUAACUCAGGUGCUGCUUCUAAAACUGCUAUACUUGAGUGCAGUAGAGGAAAGUGGAAUUCCUAGUGUAGCGGUGGAAUGCGUAGAUAUUAGGAGGAACAUCAGUGGCGAAGGCGACUUUCUGGACUGUAACUGACGCUGAGGCACGAAAGUGUGGGGAGCAAACAGGAUUAGAUACCCUUGUAGUCUA